This 301-nucleotide ribosomal RNA is filed under the name uncultured bacterium. Its description in RNAcentral is "partial 16S ribosomal RNA". It matches the Rfam family "Bacterial small subunit ribosomal RNA", at positions 509 to 809 of the family's 1533-position model. The record is from RNAcentral.
CAGUAGCCGCGGGAAUACGAAGGGGGCUAGCGUUGCUCGGAAUUACUGGGCGUAAAGGGAGCGUAGGCGGACAUUUAAGUCAGGGGUGAAAUCCCGGGGCUCAACCUCGGAAUUGCCUUUGAUACUGGGUGUCUUGAGUAUGAGAGAGGUAUGUGGAACUCCGAGUGUAGAGGUGAAAUUCGUAGAUAUUCGGAAGAACACCAGUGGCGAAGGCGACAUACUGGCUCAUUACUGACGCUGAGGCUCGAAAGCGUGGGGAGCAAACAGGAUUAGAUACCCGCGUAGUCCCUGUCUCUUAUAU